GCCUGGAGGGCUCAGUCGGUUAAAGUGUCCGACUUCAGCUCAGGUCAUGAGCUCAUGGUUCAUGGGUCCGAGCCCCAUUUCGGGCU
RNAcentral lists this transfer RNA (86 nucleotides) under Felis catus (domestic cat). It matches the Rfam family "tRNA". Rfam says of the family: Transfer RNA (tRNA) molecules are approximately 80 nucleotides in length. Their secondary structure includes four short double-helical elements and three loops (D, anti-codon, and T loops). The record is from Rfam by way of RNAcentral. Lineage: Eukaryota; Metazoa; Chordata; Mammalia; Carnivora; Felidae.